This 257-nucleotide ribosomal RNA is filed under the name uncultured bacterium. RNAcentral's name for it is "partial 16S ribosomal RNA". It matches the Rfam family "Bacterial small subunit ribosomal RNA", at positions 524 to 776 of the family's 1533-position model. The record is from RNAcentral.
UACGAAGGGGACUAGCGUUGUUCGGAAUCACUGGGCGUAAAGCGCACGUAGGCGGAUUUGUAAGUCAGGGGGUGAAAUCCCGGGGCUCAACCCUGGAACUGCAUUGAAUACUGGGAGGCUAGAGUACUGGAGAGGAAACUGGAAUUUACGGUGUAGCAGUGAAAUGCGUAGAGAUCGUAAGGAAGACCAGUGGCGAAGGCGAGUUUCUGGACAGUUACUGACGGCUGAGGCACGAAGGCCCAGGGGGAGCAAACGGG